Molecule: ribosomal RNA, 1036 nt
Filed under: uncultured bacterium
Lineage: Bacteria
Description: bacterial SSU rRNA
Rfam family: Bacterial small subunit ribosomal RNA
Source: RNAcentral
CCUACGGGAGGCAGCAGUCGGGAAUCUUGGGCAAUGGGCGAAAGCCUGACCCAGCAACACCGUGUGGGUGAUGAAGGCCUUCGGGUCGUAAAGCCCUGUUGAUAGGGACGAAGGGCGAAGGGUUAAUAGCCCCUAGCUUGACGGUACCUUUCGAGGAAGCCCCGGCUAACUACGUGCCAGCAGCCGCGGUAAUACGUAGGGGGCGAGCGUUGUCCGGAAUUAUUGGGCGUAAAGAGCGUGUAGGCGGUUCGGUAAGUCUGUCGUGAAAUCCUGGGGCUCAACCUCGGGCGUGCGAUGGAUACUGCCGGGCUAGAGGGUGGUAGAGGCGAGUGGAAUUCCCGGUGUAGCGGUGAAAUGCGCAGAUAUCGGGAGGAACACCAGUAGCGAAGGCGGCUCGCUGGGCCACACCUGACGCUGAGACGCGAAAGCUAGGGGAGCGAACAGGAUUAGAUACCCUGGUAGUCCUAGCCGUAAACGAUGGACACUAGGUGUGGGGGGAGUCGAAUCCCUCUGUGCCGCAGCUAACGCGUUAAGUGUCCCGCCUGGGGAGUACGGCCGCAAGGCUAAAACUCAAAAGAAUUGACGGGGGCCCGCACAAGCAGCGGAGCAUGUUCUUUAAUUCGAUGCAACGCGAAGAACCUUACCUGGACUUGACAUGGUGCUGCAAGCGCACGGAAACGUGUGACCUUCGAGGGUGCACCACAGAUGCUGCAUGGCUGUCGUCAGCUCGUGUCGUGAGAUGUUGGGUUAAGUCCCGCAACGAGCGCAACCCCCGUGGCGUGUUGCCAGCAUUUAGUUGGGGACUCACGCCAGACUGCCGGUGACAAACCGGAGGAAGGUGGGGAUGAUGUCAAGUCAUCAUGGCUCUUACGCCCAGGGCUAGAACGUGCUACAUGGCGCAUACAAAGGGCAGCAAGACCGCAAGGUGGAGCGAUCUCAUCAAAAUGCGUCUAAGUUCGGAUCGGGGUCUGCACUCGACCUCGUGAGGCGGAGUUGCUAGUAUCGCGGAUCAGCAUGCGCGUGAUACGUUCCCGGG